RNAcentral lists this ribosomal RNA (278 nucleotides) under uncultured bacterium. RNAcentral describes it as "partial 16S ribosomal RNA". It matches the Rfam family "Bacterial small subunit ribosomal RNA", at positions 524 to 795 of the family's 1533-position model. The record is from RNAcentral.
UACGGAGGGUGCGAGCGUUAAUCGGAAUUACUGGGCGUAAAGCGCGCGUAGGCGGCUUUGUAAGUCGGAUGUGAAAUCCCCGGGCUUAACCUGGGGAACUGCAUUCGAUACUGCAGAACUAGAGUAUGGUAGAGGGAAGUGGAAUUUCCGGUGUAGCGGUGAAAUGCGUAGAUAUCGGAAGGAACACCAGUGGCGAAGGCGACUUCCUGGGCCAAUACUGACGCUGAGGUGGCGAAAAGCGUGGGGAGCAAACAGGGAUUAAGAUACCCGCGUACGUC